This 422-nucleotide ribosomal RNA is filed under the name uncultured archaeon. RNAcentral's name for it is "partial 16S ribosomal RNA". It matches the Rfam family "Archaeal small subunit ribosomal RNA", at positions 323 to 746 of the family's 1478-position model. The record is from RNAcentral.
CUACGGGUGGCACCAGGCGAGAAAACUUUGCAAUGUGCGAAAGCACGACAAGGUUAAUCCGAGUGGUUUGUGCUAAACGAACCUUUUGACAGUCCUAGAAACACUGUUGAAUAAGGGGUGGGCAAGUUCUGGUGUCAGCCGCCGCGGUAAAACCAGCACCUCAAGUGGUAAGGAUGAUUAUUGGGCCUAAAGCAUCCGUAGCUGGCUCUGUAAGUUUUCGGUUAAAUCUGUACGCUCAACGUACAGGCUGCCGGGAAUACUGCAGAGCUAGGGAGUGGGAGAGGUAGACGGUACUCGGUAGGAAGGGGUAAAAUCCUUUGAUCUAUUGAUGACCACCUGUGGCGAAGGCGGUCUACCAGAACACGUCCGACGGUGAGGGAUGAAAGCUGGGGGAGCAAACCGGAUUAGAUACCCGCGUAGUC